GACUUUUAGUUCAACCUAGCAAAAGAACAGAGAUGUGGGUAAAGGGUGAGGUGGAUCAGAGCGCACUUUUUUUUCCCCAAAGAGGAGGCCAGUGUGUGCGCAUAACUAUUAAUAACUGUGUGUGUGUGUGUGUGUGUGUGUGUGUGUGUGUGUGUGUGUGUGUGUGAUUAUUGCAAAUCUCUCCCCAAGAAGCCUCACCACACUUUCAGGGCUAAGAAUGGACUCUUCGCCACUGUCGUGUGACUAACAAGCCCUGCAGCUGCAGGUAUUCUGGGAAAUAAAUUGGGGAUGUGGCGUAAGCACUUGAAACAGCCCUGGAAGAAAGGGAGCGGGUGGGGGAGACGGCAGCAGGGUUGAAUGCCCUCCGCUGACGGCAGGAGCAGUGAAUGGAUGUGGCAGCUUUCAGAUUUAAUAGGGAUGGUUCUUCCAUGUGUGGGCCCAACAGCCUCCAUCCGAAGCCCAGGUGAGACAGAAUUAAUCAGUGAUGACUCCUACACUUCGCUCAGGCUCUGUUCUGUUGUGUCAGAGUAAGAAGAACCUAUGAAGAGCAUGGCUGGAUCAGACCAAAGAAGGUCUAACACACCGAGCAUCCUCCGCCAAAUGUUUCCAGGAAGAACAUGAAAUGAACAGCCCUUUCCAGGAGAUGCUCCCAAAAGAACAAGCAGCAGAAGCCAGUGCAGCCAGGCAGGGAGGAGACGCCGCCAGCCUCCCAGGAGCCAGGAGACGCCGCCAGCCUCCCAGGAGCCAGGAGACGCCGCCAGCCUCCCAGGAGCCAGGAGACGCCGCCAGCCUCCCAGGAGCCAGGAGACGCCGCCAGCCUCCCAGGAGCC
Hemicordylus capensis (graceful crag lizard) is the source of this 830-nucleotide long non-coding RNA. RefSeq lists it as uncharacterized. Lineage: Eukaryota; Metazoa; Chordata; Lepidosauria; Squamata; Cordylidae. The transcript has 3 exons. The record is from RefSeq and is a predicted model, not a curated record.